Molecule: ribosomal RNA, 468 nt
Filed under: uncultured bacterium
Lineage: Bacteria
Description: partial 16S ribosomal RNA
Rfam family: Bacterial small subunit ribosomal RNA
Source: RNAcentral
GACGAACGCUGGCGGCGUGCUUAACACAUGCAAGUCGAACGGAAAGGCCCUGCUUUUGUGGGGUGCACGAGUGGCGAACGGGUGAGUAACACGUGAGUAACCUGCCCUUGACUUUGGGAUAACUUCAGGAAACUGGGGCUAAUACCGGAUAGGAGCUCCUGCUGCAUGGUGGGGGUUGGAAAGUUUCGGCGGUUGGGGAUGGACUCGCGGCUUAUCAGCUUGUUGGUGGGGUAGUGGCUUACCAAGGCUUUGACGGGUAGCCGGCCUGAGAGGGUGACCGGCCACAUUGGGACUGAGAUACGCCCCAGACUCCUACGGGAGGCAGCAGUGGGGAAUAUUGCACAAUGGGCGGAAGCCUGAUGCAGCAACGCCGCGUGCGGGAUGACGGCCUUCGGGUUGUAAACCGCUUUCGCCUGUGACGAAGCGUGAGUGACGGUAAUGGGUAAAGAAGCACCGGCUAACUACGUG